GUAGGAUCGUGCUUCCCACCCGUUGGUAGCAGGCUUGGCAAUGUGACUUGUUUUUACUAAAGAACUCUGAGUGGAAGUGAUCUGUGCUUCUUCCAAGAGGAAAACAGUUCUUCACUUUCUUUGUCCCAAAAGAUUCACUCUUGAUUGAAAGCACAAGUUCCCUGUCUUUGGGCUUCCUGGGCAUCAUCAUUUGUGGAAACGUCCAUUUUGUGUGCCAUAGGAGGGAGAGCGUUGAAGAGAGGAGAGUGAUGAUGAUGAUGAGAAGAGAUGACUGCUGCAUUCCCCAACAGUCCUUACGCCAGGCUGGGCUGAGGGCCUGCAUUCAGCACAUUGUUUUGGUGAAUUCUUCCAACAAUUCAUGAGGCGGGCACAGCCAGCUGGACUGUGCGCAUUAUGAGGGCAGGGCUCAUUUACCGCAGCAUCCGGUCAUCUAGAGCAAGGGAUAGCACAUAGUAGGAGCUCAAUAAAUAUUUGCUUUAAAAAAGGGAUAUCAUUAUCAUCCACAUUUUUAAAAUAAUGAAACUGAUGCUCGGGAGAUUAGGAGACUUGCCUGAGGCCACACAGGUUGUAGGUGGCAGAACCGGAGUGGGAACUCAGAUCUCUGGGACACAAAAGGUUGCAAUCUGUCUUUGGGGAUGGAAAAAUUCAGCCUUUCCUCAACGGCCAAGAUAGACAGGGGAGAGGUGUUAGAGAAGGUGGCACUUUGGAAAGGUACCGGAAGAACUUAUCAACAGAGUGGGCUACAUAUUUUUUAAUGGAUUGUGAUUUAGGCUGCACAUCAAUUUUGGAAAUCUUGCAGCAGUAUUUUCCAAAGGUGGCCACAUGUGCUCUGUUUACAAUGUUACACAGACUUGCCUCCAUCGAGAGGUGGGGCCUGGGUUCCCUCCCCUUGAAGACAGGUAGACCUCAGUACCUGCCUUGACCAACAGUGUGUGACUUCUGAGAUCAGUCCUACAAGGCAACACAGCUUUGUCCUGCACCUCUCUUGGAACACAAGCCUUGGAAGUCUGAGCUGACUGGUAAGAAGUCUGGCUCCCCUGGGGCUACCAAGCUGG
Molecule: long non-coding RNA, 1055 nt
Filed under: Equus caballus (horse)
Lineage: Eukaryota; Metazoa; Chordata; Mammalia; Perissodactyla; Equidae
Description: lncRNA (ENSECAG00000049993.1)
Source: RNAcentral